AGACCCGAAACCCGGUGAUCUAGCCAUGGGCAGGUUGAAGGUUGGGUAACACUAACUGGAGGACCGAACCGACUAAUGUUGAAAAAUUAGCGGAUGACCUGUGGCUGGGGGUGAAAGGCCAAUCAAACCGGGAGAUAGCUGGUUCUCCCCGAAAGCUAUUUAGGUAGCGCCUCGUGAAUUCAUCUCCGGGGGUAGAGCACUGUUUCGGCUAGGGGGCCAUCCCGGCUUACCAACCCGAUGCAAACUGCGAAUACCGGAGAAUGUUAUCACGGGAGACACACGGCGGGUGCUAACGUCCGUCGUGAAGAGGGAAACAACCCAGACCGCCAGCUAAGGUCCCAAAGUCAUGGUUAAGUGGGAAACGAUGUGGGAAGGCCCAGACAGCCAGGAUGUUGGCUUAGAAGCAGCCAUCAUUUAAAGAAAGCGUAAUAGCUCACUGGUCGAGUCGGCCUGCGCGGAAGAUGUAACGGGGCUAAACCAUGCACCGAAGCUGCGGCAGCGACACUGUGUGUUGUUGGGUAGGGGAGCGUUCUGUAAGCCUGUGAAGGUGUGUCGUGAGGCAUGCUGGAGGUAUCAGAAGUGCGAAUGCUGACAUAAGUAACGAUAAAGCGGGUGAAAAGCCCGCUCGCCGGAAGACCAAGGGUUCCUGUCCAACGUUAAUCGGGGCAGGGUGAGUCGACCCCUAAGGCGAGGCCGAAAGGCGUAGUCGAUGGGAAACGGGUUAAUAUUCCCGUACUUGGUGUUACUGCGAAGGGGGGACGGAGAAGGCUAUGUUGGCCGGGCGACGGUUGUCCCGGUUUAAGCGUGUAGGUGUGUGUUCCAGGUAAAUCCGGUUCACUUUAACACUGAGGCGUGACGACGAGGCACUACGGUGCUGAAGCAACAAAUGCCCUGCUUCCAGGAAAAGCCUCUAAGCAUCAGGUAACAUCAAAUCGUACCCCAAACCGACACAGGUGGUCAGGUAGAGAAUACCAAGGCGCUUGAGAGAACUCGGGUGAAGGAACUAGGCAAAAUGGUGCCGUAACUUCGGGAGAAGGCACGCUGACACGUAGGUGAAGUGAUUUACUCAUGGAGCUGAAGUCAGUCGAAGAUACCAGCUGGCUGCAACUGUUUAUUAAAAACACAGCACUGUGCAAACACGAAAGUGGACGUAUACGGUGUGACGCCUGCCCGGUGCCGG
This 1180-nucleotide ribosomal RNA is filed under the name Salmonella enterica. RNAcentral describes it as "partial 23S ribosomal RNA". It matches the Rfam family "Bacterial large subunit ribosomal RNA", at positions 711 to 1872 of the family's 2925-position model. RNAcentral also lists the same sequence under 1 other name. Lineage: Bacteria; Pseudomonadati; Pseudomonadota; Gammaproteobacteria; Enterobacterales; Enterobacteriaceae. The record is from RNAcentral.